RNAcentral lists this ribosomal RNA (492 nucleotides) under uncultured bacterium. Its description in RNAcentral is "partial 16S ribosomal RNA". It matches the Rfam family "Bacterial small subunit ribosomal RNA", at positions 29 to 507 of the family's 1533-position model. The record is from RNAcentral.
AGUGAACGCUGGCGGUAGGCCUAACACAUGCAAGUCGAACGGCAGCACAGUAAGAGCUUGCUCUUACGGGUGGCGAGUGGCGGACGGGUGAGGAAUACAUCGGAAUCUACUUUUUCGUGGGGGAUAACGUAGGGAAACUUACGCUAAUACCGCAUACGACCUACGGGUGAGAGCAGGGGAUCUUCGGACCUUGCGCGAUUGAAUGAGCCGAUGUCGGAUUAGCUAGUUGGCGGGGUAAAGGCCCACCAAGGCGACGAUCCGUAGCUGGUCUGAGAGGAUGAUCAGCCACACUGGAACUGAGACACGGUCCAGACUUCUACGGGAGGCAGCAGUGGGUACUAUUGGACAAUGGGCGCAAGCCUGCUCCAGCCAUACCGCGUGGGUGAAGAAGGCCUUCGGGUUGUAAAGCCCUUUUGUUGGGAAAGAAAAGCAGCAGGUUAAUACCCCGCUGUUCUGACGGUACCCAAAGAAUAAGCACCGGCUAACUUCGUG